GGGGAUGAUCGGUUUCGACGAUGUAGGUUGAGAUGGGUGAAGCGUGCCGAGGACUGCAGGGUUAUCUCGUUAACGCCCUCUGCAACUAAAUAUAAAUGCAGAAUCUAAGCGUUCUGAUUUCGCUCUCGCUGCCUAAGCGCGAGAAGCAAUCUGUCAGCCUGAGUUUGCCUUUGGUUCAGUAGCUGGCAUCGACUUAAAAGGCCACUGCUGUGAGCGUUUGCCGUAGGCGCUCACGGGACACUUAUACGGAUAGGUUCGUCGUUGCACGUGUUUGUGCCAGCAACGGAGCCGAAAAAUAGCGCAUUCACAAACUGCGCACGGAGAAGCCCCGUUGAGGCUACAUCGGACCGGGGUUCGAUUCCCCGCAUCUCCACGA
Molecule: transfer-messenger RNA, 376 nt
Filed under: Rothia sp. (in: high G+C Gram-positive bacteria)
Lineage: Bacteria; Bacillati; Actinomycetota; Actinomycetes; Micrococcales; Micrococcaceae
Rfam family: transfer-messenger RNA
About the family: Bacterial tmRNA, also known as 10Sa RNA or SsrA, is named for its dual tRNA and mRNA-like properties. Its role is to liberate the mRNA from a stalled ribosome.
Source: RNAcentral